AGUGAACGCUGGCGGUAGGCCUAACACAUGCGAGUCGAACGGCAGCACAGUAAGAGCUUGCUCUUACGGGUGGCGAGUGGCGGACGGGUGAGGAAUACAUCGGAAUCUACUUUUUCGUGGGGGAUAACGUAGGGAAACUUACGCUAAUACCGCAUACGACCUACGGGUGAAAGCAGGGGAUCUUCGGACCUUGCGCGAUUGAAUGAGCCGAUGUCGGAUUAGCUAGUUGGCGGGGUAAAGGCCCACCAAGGCGACGACCCGUAGCUGGUCUGAGAGGAUGAUCAGCCACACUGGAACUGAGACACGGUCCAGACUCCUACGGGAGGCAGCAGUGGGGAAUAUUGGACAAUGGGCGCAAGCCUGAUCCAGCCAUACCGCGUGGGUGAAGAAGGCCUUCGGGUUGUAAAGCCCUUUUGUUGGGAAAGAAAAGCAGCAGGUUAAUACCCCGCUGUUCUGACGGUACCCAAAGAAUAAGCACCGGCUAACUUCGUG
Molecule: ribosomal RNA, 492 nt
Filed under: uncultured bacterium
Lineage: Bacteria
Description: partial 16S ribosomal RNA
Rfam family: Bacterial small subunit ribosomal RNA
Source: RNAcentral